This 281-nucleotide ribosomal RNA is filed under the name uncultured prokaryote. RNAcentral's name for it is "partial 16S ribosomal RNA". It matches the Rfam family "Bacterial small subunit ribosomal RNA", at positions 524 to 803 of the family's 1533-position model. The record is from RNAcentral.
UACGUAGGUGGCGAGCGUUAUCCGGAUUUAUUGGGCGUAAAGCGUCCGCAGACGGUUUGUUAAGUCUAGAAUCAAAGCCCGGAGCUUAACAUCGGUUCGUUUUAGAAACUGGCAGACUUGAGUAUGGUAGAGGCAAGUGGAAUUUCUAGUGUAGCGGUAGAAUGCGUAGAUAUUAGAAGGAACACCAGUGGCGAAGGCGACUUGCUGGGCCAUUACUGACGUUCAUGGACGAAAGCGUGGGGAGCAAAUAGGAUUAGAUACCCCCGUAGUCCCUGAGCGGG